Molecule: ribosomal RNA, 457 nt
Filed under: uncultured Thiobacillus sp.
Lineage: Bacteria; Pseudomonadati; Pseudomonadota; Betaproteobacteria; Nitrosomonadales; Thiobacillaceae
Description: bacterial SSU rRNA
Rfam family: Bacterial small subunit ribosomal RNA
Source: RNAcentral
GGGCUGCAGUGGGGAAUUUUGGACAAUGGGGGCAACCCUGAUCCAGCCAUUCCGCGUGAGUGAAGAAGGCCUUCGGGUUGUAAAGCUCUUUCAGCUGGAAAGAAACGGUACGCACUAACAUUGUGUGCUAAUGACGGUACCAGCAGAAGAAGCACCGGCUAACUACGUGCCAGCAGCCGCGGUAAUACGUAGGGUGCGAGCGUUAAUCGGAAUUACUGGGCGUAAAGCGUGCGCAGGCGGUUUUGUAAGACAGAUGUGAAAUCCCCGGGCUUAACCUGGGAAUGGCAUUUUGAACUGGCAGUCUAGAGUGUGUCAGAGGGGGGUGGAAUUCCACGUGUAGCAGUGAAAUGCGUAGAGAUGUGGAGGAACACCGAUGGCGAAGGCAGCCCCCUGGGAUAACACUGACGCUCAUGUACGAAAGCGUGGGUAGCAAACAGGAUUAGAUACCCUGGUAGUC